RNAcentral lists this ribosomal RNA (253 nucleotides) under uncultured bacterium. RNAcentral describes it as "partial 16S ribosomal RNA". It matches the Rfam family "Bacterial small subunit ribosomal RNA", at positions 524 to 776 of the family's 1533-position model. The record is from RNAcentral.
UACGGAGGGGGCGAGCGUUGUCCGAAGUUACUGGGCGUAAAGCGCGCGUAGGCGGGUCGAAAAGUCCGCUGUGAAAGCCCGAGGCUUAACCUCGGCGGGUCGGUGGAUACUGUCGGUCUUGAAGGUGCUAGGGGGAGAUGGAAUUACCGGUGUAGCGGUGAAAUGCGUAGAUAUCGGUAGGAACACCAGUGGCGAAGGCGGUAUCCUGGGGCAUUCUUGACGCUGAGGCGCGAAAGCUGGGGGAGCGAACGGG